RNAcentral lists this transfer RNA (87 nucleotides) under Candidatus Curtissbacteria bacterium RIFCSPLOWO2_01_FULL_42_26. RNAcentral describes it as "tRNA-Leu". It matches the Rfam family "tRNA". From Rfam's summary of the family: Transfer RNA (tRNA) molecules are approximately 80 nucleotides in length. Their secondary structure includes four short double-helical elements and three loops (D, anti-codon, and T loops). Further hydrogen bonds mediate the characteristic L-shaped molecular structure. tRNAs have two regions of fundamental functional importance: the anti-codon, which is responsible for specific mRNA codon recognition, and the 3' end, to which the tRNAs corresponding amino acid is attached (by aminoacyl-tRNA synthetases). tRNAs cope with the degeneracy of the genetic code in two manners: having more than one tRNA (with a specific anti-codon) for a particular amino acid; and 'wobble' base-pairing, i.e. permitting non-standard base-pairing at the 3rd anti-codon position. Lineage: Bacteria; Candidatus Curtissiibacteriota. The record is from RNAcentral.
GCCCUGGUGCUGGAAUUGGUAGACAGGCAAGUUUCAGGAACUUGUAUCCGCAAGGGUGUGGGAGUUCGAGUCUCCCCCAGGGCACAA